CUUCUUGAGUGAUAGAUCAUGCCACAUCUAAUUUAUGCAAAAAUUCAUAUCUACAUUUACCAAUUUUUAUGAUUGGAAUUAGAUUGCAUACUGCUGUAGAAAUACAUUUUUGCAUGUCCAGAUUUUCAGCUUUGAUGCAGAUGUUAUAAAUUAUUCAACUCAAUCCAUAGGAUAAUUGCUGAGGUUGGCAUUACUUAUCGUAGCGCACAAAAAUAUCAGCAAGAAUCAUGAUGGAUACUGGAGUGGCUGAAUGGAUCUGAAUGCAUGACAGAAACUUUGGUGUUGUUUGGAAGAUCAGGAGAUCCUGUCUCAAGACUCUCAACAAAGAAGAUUGUUGUAUGAUCUAGGCAAAGGACACCAACCGAAAUGAUGGAACUGGAUUGAUGGUUGAGUUGAGAGGGGCAGACAGGAAGCUGCAGUUGGGACACUCUGACACUACAAAGGCUCUCUUCAAUCAAACGAGUGAGACGUAGACAUCUGCUUGUAGAGAAGGCCUGCGUAAGAGAGUCCACAGUGAUUUUGUAAAUGAAAGUUGCAGAAACUGUUUUGCUUGGUGGAUAUGGAAGUUGACAAGCAGCUAAAAACAUACCCUUGAGCAUUUGAGCUCAAGUCUUAGCAAUUGCACGUCCAACUUAGAUGUAAACAAAAUUCCUGCAGAGUUCAUGGAUCCCUGACCUAAAAUUCUUUAGUAAAUGACACUCAAGCAUUUGAGCUAAACAAUGAUGAUAAAGCAACGAUAAUUCCCAGGGACCUACAUCAUUAGAACCCUGAGAUUGAGUGGAAAUCAGACAGUGUACUCAGAGAUUCAGAACAAGUAAUUGGGAGGAUCAAGGUCCUCAUCUAUUGUGGCAGACAUCACUAUGUGCUGCACAUAGUUACAUCUGUUUUGCACACCUUUAUGCUUAAGCAUGGACAGGACCGGGACUAAACAGUAAAUGGCCAUUGAAGUUAAGGGGUAGAGUAAAAUUGCUGGUCAACAGGAAGAGAUUGUAAAAUGGCAGUCUAACAAAGAACUGGCCAUCAAUCAACACCAAUUUUCAUAGCAAUACAAACCAAGCAUGACAUGAAUCAUGCAAACGAACAGUUAAGGCUUUAUUGUCUUCCAUAUGCUGGGGCCAGCUUUCAGGACUUUUCAGUGGACAUAUAUGAUGCGAAACAAGUGUUGCAAAUAAUAUGCAUGUGAUGGUACAUAACCGUAACACCAGACUACAUCAUGCAGCGUCUUGGCAAUUUCUAUAGCAAAAAGAAGAGUGCUAUUUUUCAUACUCGGUGAUUUAAUAGAUACCAGAUUACUUGCAGUAAAAAGAUCAACUUUAUCCAAGAAGAGAUGGCAAAACUAAUAUAAACAUACUAAUUUGCGCAUUUGUACACUGCCAAAGAAGAAGCUCAUUUAUCAGUUGUUGAUAAUGUUGCGUAAGAAUUGGACAUACCAUCACUUCUGAAGUUGCAUUUAGCACUUGAUGAUUC
Molecule: non-coding RNA, 1467 nt
Organism: Elaeis guineensis (African oil palm)
Lineage: Eukaryota; Viridiplantae; Streptophyta; Magnoliopsida; Arecales; Arecaceae
Source: RefSeq, a predicted model, not a curated record